UACGUAGGGUGCAAGCGUUGUCCGGAAUUAUUGGGCGUAAAGAGCUCGUAGGCGGUUUGUCACGUCGGAUGUGAAAAUCCGGGGCUUAACCCCGGACCUGCAUUCGAUACGGGCUGACUAGAGUUCGGCAGGGGAGACUGGAAUUCCUGGUGUAGCGGUGAAAUGCGCAGAUAUCGGGAGGAACACCAGUGGCGAAGGCGGCGAUCUGGGAAGAUACUGACGCUGAGGUGCGAAAGCGUGGGGAGCAAACAGG
Molecule: ribosomal RNA, 253 nt
Filed under: uncultured bacterium
Lineage: Bacteria
Description: partial 16S ribosomal RNA
Rfam family: Bacterial small subunit ribosomal RNA
Source: RNAcentral